AUGAAUUUUUGGAUCAGCGACAGAUCAAUUUAACAUUUCAAAAACACUUUCUAGAAAACAACACUUCUUUACUGAUGACUGUUUCUAGUAUUGUUUGUUUGAACACAAGAUGUUUAUUGUGUGACAUCUUUAAACUACAGUAUGUCUGAUGUUGAAACAUCAUGUGUUUGUCUCCAUCAGGUAACACCUUGGAGGAUGAUAUUACUGCCAGCAGUGCUGAAGUGUUUUCAUCAGAGGGUCACAGUGUUACUCUGUCCUGUAAAUACUCAGUUAAAGCUGAUAAUCUCCAGUGGUAUCAACAAGAUCCUGGAUCAGCUCCUCAGUUCCUUCUCCUGAUCAGCGACACUUCAGAUCCAACUGUAGUGACAGCAAAACCUCCACACCCUCGACUGACUGUUAAACUGAAUGAGAAGAGAAACCGUGUGGAUCUACAGAUCUCCUCUGCUGCACUGACUGACUCUGCUGUGUACUACUGUGCUCUGAGGCCCACAGUGACAGGAAACACCACAACUCUGUACAAAAACCUCUGGAGAGAAGACAACACAAUACUCCACAACAUCCACUAGAGGGAGUCACACACUGACAAACUACGAUGGUAUGUAAUGAUACAGACCAGGGGUCUUAUUUAUAACCGUUGCGUACGCACAAAACGGGGUCUGAAACUGGCGUACGACUUUUCCCACACAAAGUUUGUGAUCUAUAAAAACAAACCUGACGGUAAAAUGUGCGCACCAGUAAGCAAACACUGACCCAGGUGUACGUUCAUUCUGGAGGCAGGGGAAAUCAUCGACACAGACGGUGAAGUGGUGAAUUGAAGCCUGCAGAUACAUACUGAUGUCUC
This is a non-coding RNA of Labrus mixtus (cuckoo wrasse), 841 nucleotides long. The record is from the annotation of a RefSeq genome assembly. Lineage: Eukaryota; Metazoa; Chordata; Actinopteri; Labriformes; Labridae.